AAAUGAAUAGACGGGGAGGCGCACAACCAGUGGAGCAUGUGGUUUAAUUCGAGACGAAGCGAUGGACCUCACCUGGGUUUGACAUGUACCUGCAACUCUGCAGAAAUGCGGAGCCUCUUCGAGAGUGGUACACAGCUGCUGCAUGGCUGUCGUCAGUUCGUGUCGUGAGACGUCCACUUAAGUGUGGUAACGAACGCAACCCGCAUCUUGUGUUAUUUUUCCACAAGAAACUGCCUCGCAACAAGCGGGGAGGAAGGAGCGGAUGACGUCAAGUCAGCAUGGUGCUUAUAUCCAGGGCAACACACAUCCUACAAUGGAGCCGACAAAGGGUUGCCAAGCCGCAAGGCGGAGCUAAUCCCUAAACGGCCCCUCAGUUCAGAUUGCAGGCUGCAACUCGCCUGCAUGAAGUCGGAAUUGGUAGUAAUCGCGGAUCAGCAGACCGCGGUGAAUACGUUCUCGCCUCUUGUACACACCGCCCGU
Molecule: ribosomal RNA, 480 nt
Filed under: uncultured bacterium
Lineage: Bacteria
Description: bacterial SSU rRNA
Rfam family: Bacterial small subunit ribosomal RNA
Source: RNAcentral